RNAcentral lists this microRNA precursor (123 nucleotides) under Hordeum vulgare. RNAcentral describes it as "microRNA MIR1122". It matches the Rfam family "MIR1120/MIR1122 microRNA precursor family". The record is from RNAcentral. Lineage: Eukaryota; Viridiplantae; Streptophyta; Magnoliopsida; Poales; Poaceae.
CAACUCCUCCCUCUGUUUGAAAUUAUUUGUCGCACACAUAUAUAAAAAGAUGUAUCUAAAACAAAAAUACAUCUAGAUACAUUCAUUUUUAUGACAAGUAUUUUCGUACGGAGGAAGUAUUUA